GCGAAUCUUCAACAUCCGUCUCACGUUGCUUCUGGGAAGAUGCUUUUAAUUGUUUUAUCGAUGAUAUCAAUUUGGUAGCAGCCUUUUGGUGGCAAGAUUAUGUGGAUUCAGUACUUGCAUAUCCUUGGUUCCUUGCUUGGUGUGAGAUAUAAGAACUUCUUGUUUUAUGUUCUUUGGAUGCACAAGCAGCAGAAGUCAAACUUCCUCCUUCUCAGCUCAUUGCUGGUGGUUCAGGCACGGGCCGUUGAUGCAGAUCGAUCAAGUGUCCUCCUCUUUAAUUAUUUGGAUUGGUGGUGCAUAGAUCUGGUGGUGCACUGCAGGAGAGGCACAACCCCUGCCACACCGAAGAGAAAGACGAUGGCUUCCAUGAAGAAAUUCGUCAAAGUGACUCCAAUGACCCACAGGACUCCAGCAGCAACGACAUUAUCAAAGGGUCAAGGAGCAGCAAUUUGAUAUGCAUCCGUGACAAUGAAGUUUUCUCCACGGCGCGGAAUCGAUGCUGGCGACCCCGCCGUUUCCACACCACCCCGAGGAGAAGCACAACAGGAAGGGAUAUAGCGCGACAAAUCCUAUUUUACUGUCCCCGUUUCCCGGUUUCCACAUCGCGGCGACUCGAUCCGCUGCUCUCGGGCACGGCGCUCUUGAAUGAGUCAGAUUUAUCGAGGGACAAGACUGGCAAGCGCUCCUCCGUGUCGAUCUUCGACCGAGGUAGAGCGCUGGUAGCAACCACAUCAUGAAAGGGUUGACGAACGACGAUCCGAUAUGCGUCGCUCACAGCGAAGGUGCAUAUACAGAGAUGAUGAUAUGCCAUAUAUCUCACAAGUUGUUUGCAUUAGGACUGUGCGAAGUGGCGCCUAUGAAAUUUAUCGACCAGGAAGUUGAAUGAAGCCACCUAUUAGUAUGCUUGGUAGCUAUGGCUCGGUACCUCUCCUUUAUAUCUUCAUGUUCUCAUUACUUCCUCUCCUAUUAUCGUGCUUUUGGUAUCGAACUUCAUGUCGAGUGGCUGCACUUUUGGUUUUGAUCUUAAUGACGAAUGGCUAUGUUUUGUGAUCUUACAAACGCACUAAAAUCGAUUAUGACUUAUAGUCUCGUGUUGAUAUUGAGCAAUGCUAUGUCUCACCCCUAUCUCAAUUGAAUGUUUUUUCUUUAUUUUAUUCUUAUCAUGUAUGAAUGCAUAUGCUAAAUCUGGAUUCCUACUAACUUAAAACGUUGGGACCGGCACCCUCGCGCCAAGGCGCGAUACCGAUCUAGUGAGGAAGAAAGUCCUAGAGAAAGGAUCCAAGAUGCGGACCGCAUGAUAGCACGAUGGGAGGCAGCCAGGUCAGCAAGAGCUUUUCAAAACUGCAAAGGGUCAUCAAGAGAAUUUUAAAGUCCUCUUUGGAAAUUUAGUGCUUGAGAAAUCAUAGUAAAACAGGAAAGAAAUAACGAGAAAACGUAGAUUUUGGAUAUCUCAACUUACAUGCAAAUGAUAAGCUUACUUGUUCAACAUCAUCUUAUGCAUAUCUCACCAGACAGUCAUCUUACUUGUUGUGCAAAAAAUUGAGCUCCAUCAUAUUCACCACAAAUGUCAAUUUUUGAAACAAUGAGAAGUCAAACAACUAACGACAUUCCCAUAGAAAGCCAACAAUAUAUGAGAAUGCAUCAAAGAGAUAUUCAGCUAAUCUCUAAAGUGGGGUUUAAUUGAUAAAUGGAACCAGGCUGGUUUCUGCUUGUUGCUCUAAAAAACAUUUAGUUAAACUCACAUGUGUAAUUUAAGAGACAACAAUUCAUGGUUCAUACAAUAUAAGAAAUAGAUAGACAAAAUCAAAACUAUUGUCAAAUUCAAAGCACAUCCCUCAAAAGAGUAUAUACUCAUUAAUAUCAUAAAAAUAAAGAGCAUCACACAGACUAUUAGCUAAUCAAAAGAGAGGUGUUAGCUAGAAGUGUUCUUAAACCUGUUACAUGCCAUAUAAAAAGUAUCCUCAUAUUAAUAAAUCCUAGCAACAGAAGAGAUCAUGUCAAUUCGUAUUUAGUUUACAUUUGUCCUGUAAAUAUGGAAUGAACUCGGUCUAUUAUAAAUCCUGGCGCAGAUGGAUUUAAUGACCAAAAGAGGAAUCUCCUCCAAGUGAUAACGAAGAAUCGUCUCAUAAAAUUUAAAGCAAGUCAUUGUUACAGAUUUACGGUUAUCAGAAGAUCAAUAGAUAUAAAAAAGUUUGAAUGACAUAAAUAUGGUAGAUUUAAUCUUACAAAUGUGCGUACUGAGCUAUCUAUUUAACAUUUUGGCUGGUUCAGUCUAGUUUUAGUAGUCUUCAGCUUCCAACCAUUAUGUAUCACAACUUAAUGAGAAAAUACUGCGCCGUAGCAAUGCACGAGCUGUCUAGCACUACCAAAUACAGUUCUUGCACAUGUGAAUAGGUAGGCAAAAAUGACAUUUGGUUCAAUUAUCUAUCUAUCUAUUAUAUAAUUAAGACAGAAGUCAAAUAAGGCACCACGUUCUUCCACAUGAUCUAAAAUAACAUACAUCGUUGAUUAGUAAUAUUUACGGCUGAGAUUUAAAGAUAUUACAUUACAUGAUAAAAGUUAUAAAGUUGUGUAUAUUGGACUGACACGUACAAGGUUCAUGAAAAAAGUUUUUUAAAGGUGCAUGGAAAAAGUUGGAAAGAAUAGAAAAAGAUACAUCAUUAAGCUGUACGAAAACAAGGAAACUUAUAUAGUUUUUUUUAGCAUCAGUACAGACACAAACGCUCAUAUACACCCCUAUGAAUGCACACACGCACACCCUAACCCUAUGAGCACCUCCGAGACACUGAGCUGGCAUAUCAUCUUAAGAUUUACGAAGUCACCGUAGGCGCCUCUCCUGAAAUAAAUUCAGGAAUAAUGCGAGCACCAGGAUUUGAACCCUGGUGGGUUGGGGAUAUCACUGCCCACCUAACCAACUCAACCACAAGUUGAUUCGCGAAACUUAUAUAGUUGUAAUAAAUCACAUAUCUACCCCAGUCAAAAAAAAAACACACGUACCUACGUACGUAUACGUGCGGAGUCAACCAAUGCUCUAUCUUUCCUGCGAAAAGAAACCAAAGCCGUAUCCUACCAGGACACUUUCAUUGGAGGGAUAUCAUUGGACGAGCAGUUCUAUUUUUUUUACAGCCUCGCAAUAAAAGAUUUCCUCUUGGCAGACAUUGUCUCUCUUUCUUCGCACGCGUUCCUCUGCACCGUCUUCGGCGUCCUCUCCAGUAUCUCCAUGGCAGCUGCUCCAAGCAUGACUCACCACGAUCCAUGUAUCAUCAGGUUUCCAAUCUUUCUCCACAUAGCUGAUUCGGUUCUCAGCUCUGUUUAGAAUUUCGACGAUGUUGCAAUCUAUCCGAAGCACUCAACGCUCAAAUUAUGAGUUCAUUACUUUUUUUUUGACGAGCAGUUCAUUACUUUUCUAGCCUUCAAAUCUUUUCAACUUCCAUGUAGGUGUGCUGAUUCAUACUCACUUUAAGGAUAUAAUCAUGCGCAGAAUACAGAAGCUUCGAUGAGGCCAGCCAAUGAAGGCGCUAUAAUUGACUGGUGGUGCGGUGCUUCACCAUCCUGGACCCGAGUUCAUAGCCUACUGCUGAUAUCCAAACUCUACAGGCAAAUAAUCCAAAAUAUAACUUACAUGAUCUGUUCCUAAAUCCAUCCAAUUUCAUAUAGAGCCCAACUAGAUCGGCUUGAUUUCUAAUGGCAGGUCAAGAAAAGAUAGGUUUUUUCACCAAACAAAAGGGAUAUAUGUAUUAUUCUCUACGCUAUUUUUGGCUCUACUAUGUACUAUAUGAAGUGCUGAAAGUCCUUAAUUCAAUUUCUUUGGAAUUAUAUGUGCGCAAGAUCAAAUCAGUCAGGUUUCUUUUCAUAUAAACAUAGGAGACGUAGAAAUUUUUAGUCUCAUAUAUUCUGUAAGCUGUAAACAUCACCAUGCAUACAUUGUUUACAUUGUCGUGCAUUCACUCUUUCUUAGGGUAUGUAUUCCUUCUACUCCACUUUGUAAUUAUCUUUAAAACGUUUUCUUUGUCAAUGUUCCCUUUUAAUUUCAAGCUGAGAUGGCCUGACUCCCUGUGUCCUCUUAUCUGUUGGAAGAGAGUAAGGUACCGCAUGACAUUUGUGAGUUUUCUUACUGUCAAAAAUAUAUGUUUAGCGCUAAAUUAGUGUAUUCUGAAUCUACUUAAUAUCAUUCUGUAAACAUACAUAGAUGUUAUACUACAUAUGUAGCUGAGACAAAAUAUCGAUGCCUAGAUCAUCUCCAAGGCUUCUUAUUUUCAAGAGGCAAUAAAGUUCUUCGUCCAGGUAAUCUCUACCAUGGGAAAUAGUUCUACCAUUUAUAAGAAAAUAUACAUGAUGCCAACACACGUACUAAAUAAUGGAAUGCUUAUCCGAUGAUUCAGUGUUCUUAAUCCUUAGAUUUAUGUUCCUUACCAAGCCAGACUAGCCACACGUAACGACUUCGCUUUGACUACCUUUCUGCUCAAUUUAGAAGUUUUCAUUCUGUAAUGGCAAUUGAAAUUGGGAGUGUAUUUAUCAUGACAAUGUACUUUCUUACAUCGUUUCAGUUUUACCAAUUUUACAUGGAAGCACACAGAUUUACUUGAGAACAUGUAAACCAUUACGAAUCUACAAAACUCACUCCUAUUUAUUAUGCACAUUAGGUAAAAGAGCACUAAAUAGAUGAUAUGUGAAAACACCUUACUAUAUUGUUACGUAUAGGGCACUGAUAUAUAAUUGAAAUCCUCCAAAGUAUAUGAGAAGAGUUGGGCGAAAAUGAAUUACUUAAUGAAGUAUUUCAUGUUCAGAAAUUUUGGAGCGCACACGCGAAGCCUGUUGUGUUCCAGCACAACACCGUAUGAGCCGUCCGAUUUUGCUGCACGACCGUUGGCAUGCAUGUUGCGAUGGCAGCUUUGACAUCAUGGUGGCAUUUUGCAAAUGUCUCGCAACGUCGCGCAAUAGCCCAGAGAAUGAAACAGUACCUGAAGCUUCAGGAAAAGAUUCUACACUUCUGUACUUUUGGAGGUCUUGAAUUAGUCUAUCUCCACAUAUGUUUCUAUAUUUUUUCUGUCGUGGAAAAGAUAUCAAGCAAUUAUAAAUACAGACCGACGUUUGUGCUUAUGUAUGAGAUACAAAUAAAUCAUGUUUGAUUUUGAGAAGAGUAUUGAAAUUCAAUUGAAGA
This is an RNA transcript of Triticum aestivum (bread wheat), 5161 nucleotides long. RefSeq lists it as uncharacterized. The record is from RefSeq and is a predicted model, not a curated record. Lineage: Eukaryota; Viridiplantae; Streptophyta; Magnoliopsida; Poales; Poaceae. The transcript has 8 exons.